Molecule: ribosomal RNA, 2289 nt
Filed under: Salmonella enterica
Lineage: Bacteria; Pseudomonadati; Pseudomonadota; Gammaproteobacteria; Enterobacterales; Enterobacteriaceae
Description: partial 23S ribosomal RNA
Rfam family: Bacterial large subunit ribosomal RNA
Source: RNAcentral
GGGAGCCGGAGGGAAACCGAGUCUUAACCGGGCGUUAAGUUGCAGGGUAUAGACCCGAAACCCGGUGAUCUAGCCAUGGGCAGGUUGAAGGUUGGGUAACACUAACUGGAGGACCGAACCGACUAAUGUUGAAAAAUUAGCGGAUGACCUGUGGCUGGGGGUGAAAGGCCAAUCAAACCGGGAGAUAGCUGGUUCUCCCCGAAAGCUAUUUAGGUAGCGCCUCGUGAAUUCAUCUCCGGGGGUAGAGCACUGUUUCGGCUAGGGGGCCAUCCCGGCUUACCAACCCGAUGCAAACUGCGAAUACCGGAGAAUGUUAUCACGGGAGACACACGGCGGGUGCUAACGUCCGUCGUGAAGAGGGAAACAACCCAGACCGCCAGCUAAGGUCCCAAAGUCAUGGUUAAGUGGGAAACGAUGUGGGAAGGCCCAGACAGCCAGGAUGUUGGCUUAGAAGCAGCCAUCAUUUAAAGAAAGCGUAAUAGCUCACUGGUCGAGUCGGCCUGCGCGGAAGAUGUAACGGGGCUAAACCAUGCACCGAAGCUGCGGCAGCGACGCUGAUGCGUUGUUGGGUAGGGGAGCGUUCUGUAAGCCUGCGAAGGUGGCCUGUGAGGGUUGCUGGAGGUAUCAGAAGUGCGAAUGCUGACAUAAGUAACGAUAAAGCGGGUGAAAAGCCCGCUCGCCGGAAGACCAAGGGUUCCUGUCCAACGUUAAUCGGGGCAGGGUGAGUCGACCCCUAAGGCGAGGCCGAAAGGCGUAGUCGAUGGGAAACGGGUUAAUAUUCCCGUACUUGGUGUUACUGCGAAGGGGGGACGGAGAAGGCUAUGUUGGCCGGGCGACGGUUGUCCCGGUUUAAGCGUGUAGGUGUGUGUUCCAGGUAAAUCCGGUUCACUUUAACACUGAGGCGUGAUGACGAGGCACUACGGUGCUGAAGCAACAAAUGCCCUGCUUCCAGGAAAAGCCUCUAAGCAUCAGGUAACAUCAAAUCGUACCCCAAACCGACACAGGUGGUCAGGUAGAGAAUACCAAGGCGCUUGAGAGAACUCGGGUGAAGGAACUAGGCAAAAUGGUGCCGUAACUUCGGGAGAAGGCACGCUGACACGUAGGUGAAGUGAUUUACUCAUGGAGCUGAAGUCAGUCGAAGAUACCAGCUGGCUGCAACUGUUUAUUAAAAACACAGCACUGUGCAAACACGAAAGUGGACGUAUACGGUGUGACGCCUGCCCGGUGCCGGAAGGUUAAUUGAUGGGGUCAGCGCAAGCGAAGCUCCUGAUCGAAGCCCCGGUAAACGGCGGCCGUAACUAUAACGGUCCUAAGGUAGCGAAAUUCCUUGUCGGGUAAGUUCCGACCUGCACGAAUGGCGUAAUGAUGGCCAGGCUGUCUCCACCCGAGACUCAGUGAAAUUGAACUCGCUGUGAAGAUGCAGUGUACCCGCGGCAAGACGGAAAGACCCCGUGAACCUUUACUAUAGCUUGACACUGAACAUUGAGCCUUGAUGUGUAGGAUAGGUGGGAGGCUUUGAAGUGUGGACGCCAGUCUGCAUGGAGCCGACCUUGAAAUACCACCCUUUAAUGUUUGAUGUUCUAACGUGGACCCGUGAUCCGGGUUGCGGACAGUGUCUGGUGGGUAGUUUGACUGGGGCGGUCUCCUCCUAAAGAGUAACGGAGGAGCACGAAGGUUGGCUAAUCCUGGUCGGACAUCAGGAGGUUAGUGCAAUGGCAUAAGCCAGCUUGACUGCGAGCGUGACGGCGCGAGCAGGUGCGAAAGCAGGUCAUAGUGAUCCGGUGGUUCUGAAUGGAAGGGCCAUCGCUCAACGGAUAAAAGGUACUCCGGGGAUAACAGGCUGAUACCGCCCAAGAGUUCAUAUCGACGGCGGUGUUUGGCACCUCGAUGUCGGCUCAUCACAUCCUGGGGCUGAAGUAGGUCCCAAGGGUAUGGCUGUUCGCCAUUUAAAGUGGUACGCGAGCUGGGUUUAGAACGUCGUGAGACAGUUCGGUCCCUAUCUGCCGUGGGCGCUGGAGAACUGAGGGGGGCUGCUCCUAGUACGAGAGGACCGGAGUGGACGCAUCACUGGUGUUCGGGUUGUCAUGCCAAUGGCACUGCCCGGUAGCUAAAUGCGGAAGAGAUAAGUGCUGAAAGCAUCUAAGCACGAAACUUGCCCCGAGAUGAGUUCUCCCUGAGACUUUAGGUCUCCUGAAGGAACGUUGAAGACGACGACGUUGAUAGGCCGGGUGUGUAAGCGCAGCGAUGCGUUGAGCUAACCGGUACUAAUGAACCGUGAGGCUUAACCUU